GAUGAACGCUGGCGGCGUGCCUAACACAUGCAAGUCGAGCGAAAACACGGGGAGCUUUCGCCCCUGACGUUAGCGGGGGACGGGUGAGUGACACGUGGAUAACAUACCUCUCCGACGGGGGUGAUAACGGGAGACCGGUGCUACUAACGGAGAAUAUAUCGUACUGGAUGGUUCAAUAGUUAAAGACGGUUUUGCUGUUACUUAUAGCCGGACUCGCGCCGGAUGAGCUAGUUGGUAAGGUAACGGCAUACCAAGGCGACGAUGCGUAGCCGAUCUGAGAGGGUGAUCAGCCACACUGGAACUGAGACACGGUCCAGACUCCUACGGGAGGCAGCAGUGGGGAAUCUUCCGCAAUGGGCGAAAGCCUGACCGAGCAACACCGCGUGAGUGAUGAAGGUCUUCGGAUCGUAAAGCUCUGUUGUUAGGAAAGAAAAAAAGCGGAUUUAACCAUGCACGUCAUGACGGUACCUAAAGAAUAAGCCCCGGCUAACUACGUG
Molecule: ribosomal RNA, 497 nt
Filed under: uncultured bacterium
Lineage: Bacteria
Description: partial 16S ribosomal RNA
Rfam family: Bacterial small subunit ribosomal RNA
Source: RNAcentral